This 4261-nucleotide long non-coding RNA is filed under the name Bemisia tabaci. Its description in RNAcentral is "lncRNA ENSSSA3NGG003478". Lineage: Eukaryota; Metazoa; Arthropoda; Insecta; Hemiptera; Aleyrodidae. The record is from RNAcentral.
AAAUCGAUUGAUCUGUCAUUUAAACCUAUGUAAAAGGAUCGAUAAACAAGGUGUUCACAGCGAACACCUUAAUAAUCGAUUCUUUACCACGGAUUCAAAUGGGGAAAUAUCGAUAAUCGAUCAUUCACGCCACGCCACUGCACUGGUAUAAAAACCUCUUACUUAAUAAGUACAUUGAGGAUUUAGAUGAAUUAUACGCUCCCAAGAAUAUAUAAAGUAGUUACAUUCCUUAGUAGUUUCCAACAACAACAACAACAGCAAAAGGUUCCGCUGUUGAGGUUAUGUACUUUUUCAAACAAAACUUCUUGGAGAUGCCAUGGCAUGAAAAAUGAUCAAAACGAUUGUCGUGUCACUAUGGAAAUUUCGGAAACUCUACUAAAAUGAAAACCCAGGUAGCGUGAUGUUAAUAGUUUUACCCAUGAUUUUUAAUAGUUUUACCCGUGAAUAUAGUCUUUCGAAUACUAUGAGUAUGUUCUUGCUGGUGUGCUACCUACGCUAAAUCUAACCUAAAAUGAGAAGAAUCUUCAUCAUGAGUAAGGUGACGUAAUACGGCGUUCAAUGCAAACUGGCAUGUGCAGCGAUGCCUCGAUUUAGUAUUAAAUGGAAGCGUCAAAAAUCUUCAACGUUUUUAUGAUACUUCUCGCAGCAAACGUGAAAUUUCCUAAGACCGCCGGGCAGAAUUUGCAGAUCUCCCAAGCAGAGCGCGCGGAGCGAAAAUUUCGAGUGAAGCGCCAGGUCCCAAACCAGUACAAUUUCAACAGCAACUUGACGCAAAACCAACUACCAAAUCUAAACAGGGUGUAUUUCAGCAACAUUCCGAUAGAGAGCGCUGUCGCGCAAAUGAAACAACGAAUUCCAAGCCGUUACUUCGCCCACACUAAUUCUUCCCGAAACCAGCCACUAGACCGGUUCACGGUCAACUUACCGAUGGAUAGGAUUGUCGCAGAGAUGAAACAACAAUCCCCAAACCAGUUCCAGUUACCGGACCCGGUUUCCAGGGAUUCACCGAUAGAUAGCGCUGUCGCACAGAUGAACGAACAGAUCGCGAACCCAUACAUCUUGUACCCUAACGCAACUUUUAGCCAGUUUCCAGAUUUGGGCGGCGAGUAUUUUACAAAUUCCCCGAUGGAUGGCGCGGUUUCACAGGAUUUCCCGAUAUUCCAACCGGGAAAACCGGGUGCUGGCAACGUCAAGGACACGGUCACUGAUAACAGGAGCACGAUUUUCAACGUCCUCAUCUUGAGCAACUACCUGAGCUUAUCACCAUUCAGGGACGACCUCGGGGAUUCUGGGCUCGACGGGCGCGCGGUGUCCAAAUUCAAUUUUUCAGGGAAUGUCAAGGACUCGGCGGGACCCCGACUGGUCCCCAGGGUCAAAAACUCGACGAUAGUUUUCUUGGACGACGCCCGGCUCCCGAGCUACACGGGGAACGUGACGGACAGGAAUCGAGAGGAGAGCCGAAAAAAGUUCAGCUUCGAAGAUGUGAAUCUUGACAUGCGGAACCUGAAAGACCUGGUCAAUUUCAGGAGGAAACCGGUCCCUUUGGAGAUCUGUAGGGGUGGAGGUCUGCCGCGAGAUGUGGAAGACGCAUCGCAAUCGAAAGCGACGAUGGAUUUACCUGCAGGUUCUCAAGACGGACCAGCGUUGGACCCGGGGCGAUACCUGAGAUCACGCAGUUCCACGGCGACAACUCGUCUCUUAUCAUGAUCCGGCUCGACAAGGACAAACGGCAAAGGUUCGGCGGGGGCCUCGAUCAGCCGGGGAUGAGGGGUCGCGGGACAGUCCCUCCGAGGAAAUUCCGCAAAGAGAAGGGAUACUCCCUUCCGGGAAGGAGGGAGUCCGACGAGGAGCGGAACAUCACGGAGGACUUCCGGGAGAUGGAGAUGCACCUCGCGCAGAUCUCGAAACUCAUGGCGCGGAUAGAGAAGAAGAAGAAGCAAGCGGUCAGUAAUCGGUCGAUCCCACCGUGGGUGAAGAGCAGAAGGUGAAAUGGAGAUGUUGGAUGUGUGAGGAAUUUGCGAUUUGACUGUUGAUUCUUAUGUAAAAGUUCGCGAGAAACAAAAUGGUGCCACUGGUUUUCUCUGAAAUCAACUCCCAAGCUCAAAAAAAGUUCUCAAAGUGAGGCCAAAAUGGAGGGGAUAUAGUCCACCUCUACAUCAAGACAAACUCUCCCUGCAAAGAUAGGGAGCAAAUACAUUGACAGGGCUGCCACUUUAUUUGGGGACUCCAAAACUGAAAACACGGCAACCCUGCUAAUGUAUUUGCUCCCUAUCUUUGCAUGGAGAGUUUGCAUAGAAUAAUGAUGCUUCGCAAUGCGAUUGCGAAGCAUCAUUAUUCUCUGGAGUUUGUUUUGAUGUAGAGGUGGAUUCGCAAGGUAGGGUGGGAUAUCCCCUCCAUUUUGGCCUCAACUUGAGAGCUUUUUUGAGCUUGGGAGUUGAUUUGAGAGAAAACCAAUGGCACCAUCGUUGGUGCCACUGCCAUCGUUUCUCGCGAACUUUUACACAAGAAUCAACAGUCAAAUCGCAAAUUCCUCACACAUGCAACAUCUCCAUUCUGCGAAGUGGCUCAUUGGCGGAUUCAGCAAAUUGGCAACACUGUUUACACCAUUUAAACCUAUGGAAAUGUAUCGAUUUUUGGAGGGGUCAGGUGCUCCAACAAGAAUCGAUAAUUUAACAUAGGUUUAAAGGAGGGAAUCCGGUGUUGCCAAAUCGCUGGAUCCGCCUCUGGUGGUGCUCUGUGUGCAGCAAUGUAGUUUUAGAUGAAACAGCGAGGAGAAAAAACUUCGGUUGCGCGGACCUUUCGGUUCAUGAGGAACACCGAUGUUUUCAGUCCGGACAACCAAAGUUCCCAGUCAUGGAAACUGAAUUUCUGUUCACACGACCGGAUGAGUCUUCGGUAAAAAUUACGAGUCUUGGUAUGGCUUGUGUCCACGCCAAAUGAGGGGCUUGGAGGACAAGGCGCAUAAAAGCAGUUUUUGAAAAAAAUAUGGAUAUGAAUGAUUUCAAAUAAAUCUAGUUUUAAUGCAUAUUCUGUGAAAAAUUUGCUCCCGAAUUCCAAUUUUUAAGUAUCAAAAAGUCAGUUUGAACUAUCUUUCUAUCAUAAGGAUCCGUGUAAUUUCGAAACUUCAAACACGUAUUUCUCGAAAUGGCAGAAACUGCACUCAUGCGCCCUGUCCUCAAAACCCCUUAAAUAAGUUUACGCACAUUUAGACUGCGACAGAGGAUCGUCUAACGUCACUUUCGCAUGUAAAUUAAAUGGAAGAAUCAAGAUGGCGGAUCAUCUGUCGCAGUUAAAAGAGCGUUCAAAACUAAUUUGGCGUGGACUCGAGCAAAAACUUUGGUCACCAGCGGGCCGAUUAUGAAACUGAUCGACAAAGCUGUAGACAAAGACGACAAAAGGGAUUUGGAGGGAUCCUAUUGGUGGAAGCAGGUGGUGGCGAUGGACAUAGGAGGUAGGUAAUGGACUAACUAACGGCAACCCACUUAAGACCCGACAGUUAGUCCAUCACUUUCUUCCUUAGUCUAAACCAACCAUGUCAACCCAUAAGAUCGCUUCGUACUCCCUAUGUCUUCUUUGUCUAUCGCUUUGUCCAUCAGUUUCAAUAAUCGCCCCGCUGGACCGAUGGCUUCGAUGUUUCAUAAGAAGAGAAGUUAUUGUUCUUCGUGCAUGUAAACUUACAAUCGUCAUCGUACCAUUUUAUUUUUUUGCUUUAUAUCUACUCGCAAUAUCCUCUCCCGUAGGUGCGAAAUAAAAUCAGUGCGGUGCGCUUUUCCGCUUGUUUAACUGUAAAACUACGACGAUUAAGAAAUUGAAAAGCUUGAAGUCGGUUUUGGUAUUUUUCUUCAGUGAAAAUGUUCUACUAAGAACCUUCUAAACCUCAUUUGUAGAUUAUAAAUAGUUAAAAUUACGUUGUUCCACCAUUAUGAGAACAACAAUUAUUGUUAACAUUGAAGAUACAGUAAUACAGAUAUUUUAAUUUUUAAACAACGAAAUUCCACUUAUACUCUUCAAUUAAUAAUUUUAUACGACAGGGUGUACAGGAUGUCUACUAAAAUUUUAUUUUGGAUUAUCCUGAUGUUUGAUCUGAAAUUCCCUGACUUUUUGCGUGAACACAAUCGAUACGCAUAUGAUUUAAGAAAUAAAAAUAUUCGAUGGAUGACUAAAAUGUUUGAAAAAUGCUUGAAGCACUCAGAACAUCUGGAUCCAUGACCGAUUUUCCUAAUAUGUUCGUGAUCUUUCGUAAUGAAAUAAAAUUUCCUAA